This 896-nucleotide long non-coding RNA is filed under the name Homo sapiens (human). Its description in RNAcentral is "HSALNT0323638". The record is from RNAcentral. Lineage: Eukaryota; Metazoa; Chordata; Mammalia; Primates; Hominidae.
ACCUAUUUUUCUCAGCUGCCCAAUGUGUAGAGUGAAUACACUAAGGAAUUUAAGAGCUUACAAACUGAUUUUUAUGGAAGUCAUCAAGAGUGGAGAAGGCUGAUUUAAAAAUCAACCAUGAUUUUAAACAGGGGCUGAAAACUGUGGCUUACGAGGCAAGAUUGCAAGUUUGUGAAAAGUUUGAGCCAAAGAAAGUAUUCUUUAUGAAGACAAGUAAUUCGAUUUAAAAGGAAAAUUUAAAUGAGGCAUUAGGAACUGAACUGUGAAUUCAAUUAGGCUGUAUAUUGGACUUUCAAAAGAAGCAGUGAAAAACUCUAUAGCUUUUAUUGAGGCAAAGAAAGGACAUGUGUUAAGGCUUUAAGAUACAAGAUACUUCAAUGAAUAAAACAAAGACCUUUGCUUUCCUGAAACUUGAGAUCAAAUGGAGGACACACAAAAACAACGCACCUACAAAUCACCAUAUUGUGUGUCAGGAGCUGAGGAUGCUAUGAAAACCCCUUGAGGAAACAAAGGCACCUUGGGGGCCAUUGAGAACUCCUGACGAAGAGGGCUCAGCUGCCAGACCUGCUCAAGAAAGACCUCAGAAAUCUCUAUGGGGCUGUCAGAAGAAAAGGUUUGAAAAGGGUCUGGAGAGACUGAAAUUUGUCUGCCUUGGACUUUUCUUUUGACAAUUCACAUCCAACUUAAGCAGAAUCAUUGUUUAUUCUUAUUAUGCCAGGUUUCCUUUUCUGGUCUGCAGGUUCUCUAGGGUUUCAUAGGCUAGUAGUUGGAAUUUUCAUAUUUCCAAAGCAUUGGGGAUUUUGCAAAAACAAAAUCUAAAGGAUAUUCAGCAGCACAGUUUACUUAGGAGGUUUUAAUCAUAAUAAUCUGCAUAAUGUAUGAGAAUUUCUACCUCA